AGAACCGCAGCUGCAGCAGCAAGUCCAAACCAUCCGCCCAGGAAGCGCCGCAACCAGGGCUUGGGAGGAGCGGAUGGGGCAAGGCAGGGGUCUAACCCAGGGGUAGUCUUGGAUCCACUUUCCACCAUAAACUCCCUCUUUGCCCAGGGCAAGCCGACAAAAUGUGGUUCAAGCUGACCAGGCCGAGCCGUGGAGGAAUGCUGGGGCUUGCCCGCAGAAGGGAUGGGACCAGAGAGGAGGGGUAAUGGAGACCCCAGGAAAGGGCAGUCCAUUUCAGGUGAAGAAAGGUCAUGGCUUCAUACCUCACUUCCUGACACAAACAAGUUUUUACUGUUGUCAGCAACAAAGCCCUAAUAUAGCCGCGGAAGAGAAAAACUGCGUUGCAUUUUGCCUCUUGAGAGCAUCAUCAACAGUUACCGGAGGAAUGUAAUUCCAGAAAGCUCCAAAACUGGUAGUGAUGGUAAUUAUGGACCAAAUGCCCAAUUCUGGUUAUUAUUUUCUGGGCAUUUCUGUUCUACCAACGAUCUGCGAGUGAGCUCACUGAGAGGGCAAAUCUAGCUUUUCUUUUUGACUUUGUAAAAUUUAAUCAGGCCUGAUAGGGAACUCACAGCUCUUGGGGGAAAAUAAAGUAGGAACCACGAAAUGUCAUUUUAACAGAGCGUGGGCUUGGUGACUGCAGGAAAGGAUUUAAGGACGCUCCUGUUCCGCUUGCUGUGUAAUGAACACUGGCUCCACGCACGCACCGACGCCAUAGCUCCCGGAUGCAGUGGCUCCCUUAUCUGGGCUUUUGCAGCCCCACAAGCCCCUUCGGGAUGCUUCGAGGGGCUCCCGGUGGGUGGUGGUACAAAUGCUGCCGCCGCCGCUGCCGCCGCCGCCGGUCCUGCUGCUGUUGUUGCUGCUGCAGUCACGUGGGAGCCCCUUUAAGUUUCCAUAGAGAGGCCUCUCCGGUGUCACAUGAUGGACAUGAUAUAAUGAAACAACAUUGUGGAGAGGAAAGCAUUAGGGGAGCCCACGGCUACAAAACAAGUGAGAAGAGGUGGGAGAAAGAGAAACUACGCCACCUCCUCUGCAGCCGAGCGCACGCAGCAGCCUGGUGUGACAAGUGGGCGACGCCGGGGGCAGGGAGUGGGGGUCCUCCGCCCGCUCCGGGGACCUUGUCGCCCACCGUGCGCAGAGCAACUUUUAACCGGCAGCCCCGCACCUGUCUCAGAGAGUCCCCAUCGCUCCCCACCAACCACCAUGGGAAAAUUCUAGAAGAAUACGCUCUCAGAAUCUACGUGCGCAUCAUUUUCCUCCUCGCUCCAGAGGAAGGAACCAGAAAAGAGGGCAAAGCGGUGUAGUGUUCAGCCUCAAGAACCACCGUGCAUCCCUGGGAUGGUGCCCUCUACAGGAGGAUCUUUGCCUCACUUUUGGGAAUCUCUUAACUGCAUCUCGUUGAUUCUUAGGGUUAGAAGAAUUGCACUAACAGGAGUCUGCAACCUCUCUGCCCUGCUGAUGCACCCAGGCAGGGCUCACUGAUUUGCAGGAGUACAUGACCACAGAUCAGAGCCACUGCAGGCUGCACAGAUACCUGACUGGGCGCUCAGGAAGACUCAGGCAGAGAUGGGGAGUCGGCCUGCAAGCUGGGAUGCUAGAGCUCAUAUGCAGUUCUCCAUUUAGCUAGGAGGUUUCCAGGGCAACCACUGAAGCAGUAAUUAAAGAUCAAGAGCUAAAAGAGAGAAAAAUGGCAGCAACCUGGUCUCUUUUCACAGAACACAAUAAGCCACCAAAGAGUGCUGGGGCCUCAGACAUGUGCAGCCACUCACAACUCUUACGUGAGAGCUGGGGAUCUGAACUCGGGUCAUCGUGCUGGCUCAGCAGGCACUCUUGAAACCAAUGUGCCCCCCAAGAGUGUGGCGACCUCCACGGAAAUCAUGAAGAUCCCCUUUCUGUUCCUCACUGCCUUCUGCCACAACCCCUGGUCAGCAAGUGACCAAUUAAAAGGACCAGCCUGUCAUUCAGGAACAAGUGACAGAGAUCUAAGAUGUGAGAGGGAGAAGACAAAGGAGGCAGAGAGAGACAGGUGCUGGCCAGACUUGGUGACAAACAGGCCUGACGCAGUGAAGAUGAAGGGACCAGAAGAAGCCAACUGAUGGGAGCCAGGCUGGAUGCGGCUGAGCAAGUUCAAAGAGAGAAGAACCGCAUGAAGCUUGAGUCUGUUCCUAAUCUGCAGGACUGCUUCUUGAAGGAGCUUUUCUGGAGAACAAAUACACAAGAUAAGAAGGGUUCUUCCUUUUCAGGCCUGGGUGAGGUGAGGGGCCAUGCCUAGCUCACACUAACAGUCUCGCUCAAUGCUUCACAGGGGUGAAUGGGCAUCGGACAGAUUAAAGCAUCUUCUAGCUUGAAGCCCCAGUUUGGCUCUGUCACAUCCUUGAGCAGGGAUGUAGAUGUGAAGGGCCAGACCUGAAUACCAACACAAGUUGACUGCGAAGCCCCCCUUGUCUGUCCUGGUUGAAAACAGGUUCUCUGAAUUCUUCUCUCGGAUUUAGCAUCACAGAUGUGGCAGGCAAAGUUUGUAAGGCCCACAGAGUUUAUUGUGGACAGACUGACCUACCUGGUCAUCCUAGACUUGUUAGCAUGUAGUUAUUAAAACUGGAUUAAAGUUUCUAGAAAGCUGCAUUGGCAAGUGACAAGGGCCAUGCUGUGACUUUAAGGUAGUUCCCAUAAUGCUCUGCCACUCACGGUGCACCUCAUGGAGGUGGUUGGAGGGCUCUGGGGUACAAGUCAAGGCCAACCUCCCAUGGCUUUUGAGUGCCGUGUCCACCGUCCACUGAUUGGCCAACCUUAGGCAAGUCCCCAAGCUCCCUCUGUUCCCUUAUCUGUAGGAUGGGGUAAUAGUAGACCUUAGCCUGUAGGGUAGCGCACGAGGCAGGCCUGUGUGUCACCAGGUUGGGUGGCCUGCCUGAGAGCAGAUCCACAAAAGGAGCUGAACCCCAGAGCUGGUGUCCUACCUGAACGAGGCCACUGUGUUUCCUGUCCCGUAAAGGCACAAACAUAACUAGUUCGCUCAUUUCCGUUGUUUGAAGGAGAACUUUGAGUAAAUGUUAAGUAGACGGAGCACUUUUGUGUCAGGGUUUUAUUUUGUUUGAAGAGGGUGGACUCUGUACACUUGAGUGGUGUCCACACAAUGCAAGUGGCAGGAAGACAUGGAGCAGCCUCGGGAUCCAUCACAUUAGGAGUGUCCAGCCUUAGAGCACCCACCCAAGCAAGCAUGUCCCACGAGGACAGCAGUGACCUCCAAAGCCACCGUCUACUUGGCAUGUGUCCCCUGUGCCCCUCCUUAGCUUCUGCUUCAUGGCCUUCUAGUUUGGCUUUAUGUUCCCCUUCCCCCUAUCUACUACUUCAGGACGACCUCCCAAGACUGUCCCACCGGCGGUCAGAGAUAGGCCGGGACCAGCCACACAUACCACCAUUGAGAUCUGAGCCUGAUAUGUGUGUGACACUAGGGGAGGGAGACUUCCUGUUCGCAAGAGGGGAAAUGAGCUGUCCAAGCAUUUGAGUGGUACUCAGAAUGCCAAUCAACAUUCUUCUCCCACCAGCAUAGCAGCAGCAGCAGCAGCAGGAUUUGUAGACUCAUGCUCUCUCACUGAGGGCAGCCAUAAGGUCUCAAAGGUGAGGGCAGCGGAGUGAGUGUGUAUUCCCACCUUCUAUUAUAAAUCCACUUGAUUUGCCCUCAACUGGUGAAAUAUGUUCACAUUAUGCAAAUGGUUCAGUCUGAUGGCCUGUGGAUAUAGCCCCACGGAGAGCGACUUGCCUAGCCUGUGUGAAGCCCUGAGUCGGGUCCCCAGUGCCACCAAAGGCUACAGCAGCAGCAACAACAUGACCAUUUGUAAAAACGUUCAAAACAGCAUGUCCAUCUUAGUAUCCAAAAACCAGGAAGAAAAGAGUCAGGCCAAAACAUCCAAAGGCACGGAAACAAACCCAGGAGGGACUUGCUCUGUCUCCACUCCACAGCUGCCGAUGGCAGAGGCUCGUGUACCCUCCUCCAGCAUUGACACACACCCUCCCCUCAUCCAGAGUGAAGGCUCAUUCUCAGCCGGACCAUGAAAGGCAAGGCGAGCUCUUAAGAAAAGGCUGCCUUUCUCCAGCAUGCGUGGUAUCCUCAAACCCCCGCCACGACUGAUACUCUACCUUCCCCACGAAUCUGAGCGGCCCUGCCGUAGGAGCUCCUACACCCUUCUUCCUGGCAUAAAUUCAUAGGCUUGGCAAAACAGCAAACACAAUGGCAACUUCAAAGGACACCUUAGUGUUAGAUGAUGUGUGUGCUGCUGUUAACAUGACUGUCCCCUAGACAGCUCUGAAAACGGUUCCUUCUACCAACCUAGGGAGUGGCAGUAGAGUCUGUUUAAUGCCAUCUGGGAGGAAAGAGGAUUUUUAUGUGUGAAAUUUGGGAAUAACAAAACCAACUUUCUCUCUCCUGCAAGGGUUAAUGCUCCAGUCAGCUUCAGAUGGGUUCUCUUGUAUCUUAAAAUUACUUUUCUGGUCACGCGCUCAGAAGGUCUAAGCAUUUGUGGAUCUCACCCCCCACCCCCACCCCAAAUGCUAUUCUCUUUGGCUGUCUUAAUUACACAGGGGUUGGGAAACCAAAUUAAAACUAGGCGUGGCUGGGUAAACAGCGAUCACAUGGCAGGCUUUAGCUUUGCUCCUGGGGCUGUCUACUCCCCACAGCUCUGCUUAGCACUUUGUAUUUUUCUGAAGGAAAUAGCAUGGGGUCUUUUGGAAAUAGUCACAGGAAGUGGGACUCGGUGGCUGGUUACUCACCAGCCCCGGAGUCAGUCCUGACAGGUGGCAAAUGCCACUGCCUCCCUCCUGAUUUAUGUGGAAAUACCCCCCAGAGAGGCAGCCAUGAGGCUGGGUGCACAGCCCAAAGGGCUUUUUGUCCACCAAGUGGCUUUCACGAGGAGACUGGUCAUGGCAUGUCAUCUGGAGUGGGGGGUGACUCAGAGCUGAUCUGGGGUCACUCCACACACGUGGUAGCCACCGUGGGGUUUCUGUUCAGUUCUCAGAGUGCAGGCGGUCUCCUAAAAAUGAUCUCUCCCUCCCACCCCCAACAGCCGUCCUUUCUCAGUGAGUCACUUCCAGAAAUGAAUAGCCGCAGAUUUUGGAAUGAGCAUUGUGAAAUCUCUCGUUUAUAAUGGCAGGUUUUCAGUUGGUGGCUUGAUCAGACAUUUUCUCAAGAUGAAAAUGAGACCUUGUCUCUAAAAAGAAAAAAAAAAAAGAAAGAAAGAAAGAAAGCCCUGUGGAUUCAGAAAGCAAAAGUCUCCCACUAAAGAGCUGUCACAGCCGACCUAGUCCUCUGUGUCAAGCUGUGUGUCCUUAGAUUUGCCUGUACGGGUGAGUUCUUGGAAUUACCGACCUCGCAGCAGUAGUAGCUGGUGGUUUCCGAUGCAGAAGGUUACUACUUGAAUCAGCUCUCCUCUGGGUGAGUAGGUGGUAGUUUCCCAAGGUGUUCAGCAACUUGAGCCGUGGAUUUAAAAGGCUGCUGGCAGCUCUUACACACUUCUGCUUCCUGAAGCCCAGUGGAUGGUUCUGCCGAGCAGCAGGAGGACCCUGAGGUGUGUGAAUGAUUGAAUUACCACUCCGUCUUUUGACUAUGGAGAUCUUUUGAGGAGGAGGAGAAAGUAUUUUUGCAGAAGGAAGUGGGUUUUUUUUUUAAUGGGGGAGCUUUCAGAGGGGUAAUUAUUGGGUUCUGUUUUAAGCACUAAGACCCUUCUUUGGUGUGAGGAGAUAAAUGACUUAUGAUCUUAACAGAGAAGUUUUGCUAUAACUCUAAGGAAGCUCUAUGGCACUACUAACAGUACCCUCUGUCAAAGGAAGAUGCUAACCCCAGCAGACAGAGACUAUCUGGCAAUACCCACCCUGGGUCUGCCAGGCCCCAUGGGCUCCUGGGUUAGUGGGGGCACUUUAUGCAGGGCAGAGAGAAGGAGCCCAAUUACCGGAAGCAGGGAGUGUAGCUGCAGGGAUUGUUCUCUCAAGUGGAUCAGUUGUUUGACCUACUGACUCAUUUCAUAGGAAUUGGGAAAACAACCUAAUGUGGUUUUACUGUCGAUGCUCAAGGACUGCAGGAUCCCGGGCUUGGGAUUGCGAUGGGCUGGAGGAAGGCAGUGCUGCGGCUUGUGCUUUCUGCUGGCCCGCUCUCCGCUCUCCUAGUGGAAUUCAGUCCUCUGCUUCCAGGACAAGCCCAGCCUGCACUUGGGGAUCCUUGGGUGAUGGUUCAACCGUGAGUAUUUUUUUGAAGCUCACUGAUUCUUGCUUAGAAACUUAUAAAUGGCAUUUCGUCAAAGGAAGAGCUUCAAAGGACUGUCUUUGCUGGUGUGCAUGUGUAUAUUUCACGUUUACUAUGAAAAGUACUCUGUGAUCAUAACUACAGAAGUACACAAGGCCUACAGACAACCAUGGGAGCUAAGAAUUAAGAUUUUUUUUUAUAGCAUAUACGUAAUAAUGAAGUUGUAGUUUUGUUCUUUAAAUGUUUUGUUAGCAAAACGUGAGCUAAUUCUGUAAGAUGCACAUUGAGGAAGUAAUGUGUUUAUGUGUAGGGACUUGUGAUUCCUCGUGUUUUUCUUUGCCGCCAUUGCCAGCAAAUAAGCCUCAGAGGAGAACAAAGACAGUGCUUUGGUCCCGUGUAAGAGCAGACUUAGAGAAGAUAACCCUGACGUUGUAUGUGCUGCUCUCUGUGUUAGCUGUGCUGUCUGCCUCUUCCAGAUCACGUGUCCAGAUCACAUCCUUAAUUAGUGUAAGGGAUGCUUGAUAGGUGAUGGCUGUGGGUGUUCUUACUCUCCCACGAAGGGGCUGAGUAGAGGGUACAGUCUAUUGGGUUAUGUCUAUUGAGUAUGCUGUUAUGUCCUAACGCUUCAGAGUUAGAGUUAUCAAUCUGUUCUAGAUUCUAGCCCUCCCCACCCCCCACCCUGAGAUGCUGACAGAAGCCAUGAAUUCUUUAACCACGUCAUUACACUUUUGCUUGCACACGAAGGCAUCCACAGAAAUGGAGAAGCCUCUCCAGAUGCAGCAGGUAUAGGAGGCUGGGCUGUACUCUGGGGGGCCGUAUCCUUCUGGGCAGACAGACUUCCCAAAGAACUGCUGUUAAAAGCAGGAAACAGAGAACAAGACACAAGGGCGGAGAACACACGACUAAGUAAAUAAUAGAGAGUGGUUGAUACCAUCAGGAUCAUCAUGUGUGGCGCCCAGAACCCCUGUCCAAUUAGCCAGGCCCAUCUAUAAAGGAGUAUGACUUUGGGUAGAGAGUUAAGGACUUGUCAUAAACCACUUCAGCUAGUUGUGUGUGCCACCAAAUCAGGUAGGGUCACUUGAACUUGAAGGUAUCAUUCAUAACAAAUUGGAGAGGAAGAAACAUGGUAGGGACAAGCAUAUGAGGAGGUGGUUGAAUACAAAAGGAACAGUGUUUGGGAAAAAAAUACAGCCCUUUGAGCUCAUGAGCUGCAUUGAAACCAGUACCAUGGGGCCAUUGUGGAAAAAGAAGACAUGGAUAUGUUAAAAGGAGUGUGCCACAGAGGUUAAGAGGGGCAGACAACAUUCACCAGACUUGGUGUACUCGGUUUGAGUCACAUUCAAAGGAAAAUGUUCAUCGAUUGUGAAGUGCUGAUACACAAUCAACAGAAAUUACAUACCCUUCUAGGAAAAGAUAAAGGGACGGAGGGUUUUAGUCUGAAGGAGUGGGGGAUUGUUGCUGAGAGUCCUGUGCAGUAGCUGCUUGACUUCUCUUGCUGUCUUGGGCCUCUGUGCUGCCCACUUGGUCUUCAUUUGCAGCACGGUGUAUAGCCAGUGGCUGGUUUAGGAAUGCUUGUGACCCUUUUGUGAUAGACUCCUGCAAGUAAAUACAUCCAGAUAAAUCCAAAGAACUAUGGCCAGGACACAGGAAUCAUCAAUACAUUUUCUGGCUGUGAUAAAUAGAUAAGAAAGGUGAUAAAAUAGUUGAGCUAAGACAUGCGAUGACAUCUUUGGUGAUAACUUUCUAAAGAUGAAAGUAAGUAGCUAUUUUGAGUGGUAGAACAUUUAUUUCUUCAACAUGUAGGGCCUACUGUGGUAGGUUCAAAAGGAAGAUGACAGUGCCUGAUUACACUACUGUGGGGACAUAGAGCAGCAUGUGGUAGGGGCUUGUGGCAUUCAACCACUACCCUGUGUGGCUUCCUGAUGGAGUUGAAGUCCAGACUUUCCCCUAAAGGGCAGCCACUGAGGUUAGCAAGAUGAAGGAGUUAGGGCAAGCCAUUCCCCUGAGGACCAGGCACAUAGGGGCACGGACCUAGGAAGUGUGGCAGAAGGCAGUGGGAACAGACGUUGGGGGAACCACUGUGAGUACGGGACAAGUGUGCCUGGUGAGGUGUGUGACCUGGAAAGAUGAACAGGCAGUAGUUAAGAGGACUUGACUGGGGGACAGGUUGGGCAAGAUAAAGAGGCUCCUGACUCAGCAGAGCUGUGAUGAGCGGGUUUGAAGGUCAUGGACUCCAGAGAGAGGAGUGAGCAGGCAGAUAGGGCAAAGUCAGCGUAAUGGCUUAGUUACUGUGUACUGUCACUCACUAGGCACCAUGACACAAGAUGCCAGAAGGAAGUACAGGCCUGGAGGAAGAAACAGGCGGCAUUGAAACAGAACACACGCUGGCUAGGUAAAUGGAGAUGUAAGGCAGAGUGGGGAGUCAGCUUAGUGGGUGUGGACUUCAAGUUUGAGGAACAAACAAUUCAAGUGAGUAUUGUGGUCUUGACUGGUAUGAACACCAGUUUCCAAAGC
Molecule: long non-coding RNA, 8779 nt
Organism: Mus pahari (shrew mouse)
Lineage: Eukaryota; Metazoa; Chordata; Mammalia; Rodentia; Muridae
Exons: 9
Source: RefSeq, a predicted model, not a curated record